This 513-nucleotide ribosomal RNA is filed under the name uncultured bacterium. RNAcentral describes it as "bacterial SSU rRNA". It matches the Rfam family "Bacterial small subunit ribosomal RNA", at positions 8 to 509 of the family's 1533-position model. The record is from RNAcentral.
AGAGUUUGAGUCCUGGCUCAGGAUGAACGCUAGCUACAGGCUUAACACGAUGCAAGUCGAGGGGCAUCAGGGCGACAGCUUGCUGUCGUUGCUGGCGACCGGCGCACGGGUGAGUAACGCGUAUCCAACUUCCCCUUAGUAGGGCAUAGCCCGUAGAAAUGCGGAUUAAUACCCUAUGUUUUCCGAUGAGGACAUCUGAUUUGGAACAAAGACUUGUCGCUAAGGGAUGGGGAUGCGUCCGAUUAGGUUGUUGGCGGGGUAACGGCCCACCAAGCCUUCGAUCGGUAGGGGUUCUGAGAGGAAGGUCCCCCACACUGGUACUGAGACACGGACCAGACUCCUACGGGAGGCAGCAGUGAGGAAUAUUGGUCAAUGGGCGUAAGCCUGAACCAGCCAAGUAGCGUGCAGGAUGACGGCCCUACGGGUUGUAAACUGCUUUUAUGCGGGGAUAAAUUUGGGGACGCGUCCCUUUUUGCAGGUACCGCAUGAAUAAGGACCGGCUAAUUCCGUGCC